CUAAACAUUGUCCAACGCAAUCAGCUGGAAAAUUUCCCAAGCACUUCCAGCUGAUUGUAAGGUAACAGGCUUUAGUCGACAACGUGCGAUUACAUUUGGCUAUUGUUUACACAUUGUGCAACACAUGAAAUGCGUCAGGAUAUGGAAAAUACAAGCAACCGAACCUACCGAUGCCGCAAAAAGUCUGGGAAACAACACUUUCCUGUGGAUACCCUAUCUCCACCUUCUACCGCCAAAAGGACCAACAGCACGGACAAUCGACAGCAGCAGUGUCCAGUUGACAAGAGGGGAGGUGGUUAAGGUUGGAGAUAAGAAGCUCAAAGGAUGCUGGGUACACGGAGGGACAGCAAGGCAGGAUGGGGUCUGGGUUCGUCUUGUUUUGCCAAGUCAACCAGUGGUUUUCCUAGCCCUGACCCUGGCCUGUCCUGACGCAGAACCCGCCUGCCUGACCACUCUGCCUGUCUGACCUCGAGCCUGCCUAUCCCCUUCAACUUUUUUGGACU
Salvelinus sp. IW2-2015 is the source of this 503-nucleotide long non-coding RNA. RefSeq lists it as uncharacterized. NCBI's taxonomy places the organism in Eukaryota, Metazoa, Chordata, Actinopteri, Salmoniformes, Salmonidae. The record is from RefSeq and is a predicted model, not a curated record.